AUUGAACGCUGGCGGCAGGCCUAACACAUGCAAGUCGAACGAGUGGCGGACGGGUGAGUAAUGUCUGGGAAACUGCCUGAUGGAGGGGGAUAACUACUGGAACAGGUAGCUAAUACCGCAUACCAUCGGAUGUGCCCAGAUGGGAUUAGCUAGUAGGUGGGGUAACGGCUCACCUAGGCGACGAUCCCUAGCUGGUCUGAGAGGAUGACCAGCAAAACGGGAACUGAGACACGUUCCAGAUUCCUACGGGAGGGAGCAGUGGGGAAAAUUGCACAACGGGCGCAAGCCUGAUGCGUCCGUGCCGCGUGUAUGACGAAUGCCGUCCGGUUGUAAAGUUCUUUCAGCGGGGAGGCGUUACCCGCAGUGGACGCAGCGGCUAAGUCCGUGCCAGCCGCCGCGGUAAUAC
This 406-nucleotide ribosomal RNA is filed under the name uncultured bacterium. RNAcentral describes it as "partial 16S ribosomal RNA". It matches the Rfam family "Bacterial small subunit ribosomal RNA", at positions 30 to 526 of the family's 1533-position model. The record is from RNAcentral.